Molecule: long non-coding RNA, 694 nt
Organism: Photinus pyralis (common eastern firefly)
Lineage: Eukaryota; Metazoa; Arthropoda; Insecta; Coleoptera; Lampyridae
Exons: 3
Source: RefSeq, a predicted model, not a curated record
UCUGAUAAAGCCGACACCUGAGCCGACAUGUGUGUUCGAGCUCAGCAAGAUGCACUGCAGUUUUAUGCGAAUCUGUGUGAAAGUGCAAGUGUUUGUUUAUUCUGACAGCCAGAUUUUUAUUUGUUUUAGGGCCGGUAUUUCCAUCUCGGGAUAAAGUCAAGUAUAAGAUAUCUUCCAGGUAAACCGACAGUUAGCGUCGCUUCGGGUAUUUCGAACCUCGUUUAAAUAUUAUCGGCAGGAUAAGUUCUAGAUAAAGUUAUUGGGUAGAUUUUCUGCAGUUAUCAACAUAACCCCAGGAUAUUGCGUCAAAUUUCCAGUAAACUGGUGACGAUUUAAAAAUUUGCGAAAUUACCAACCGUGCCUAUACUAAAUAGGAAGAAAGAAAUUGAUGUAUGGGAGUAGAAAUUCCAAAUGGAUCAAGAUUUUCCUCGAGAUUUUCUUGACACAAACACACGAUUUUCAGAUGUGCUGAAAUUAGCAGUUCUUUUCUUUCUACGCGGUGCAUUUACAUCACGAUUUUGGUUCAUGUUCAGAGUACUCAUAAGUAAAGCUUAUUCUGUAAUUUACGUUUGACAAGUAUAUUACAAGUCACUGAAUUUCUUUCCAAAACAAAAGCAUUCGUUCAAAUUGUCAGGUAGUAAGCUAUCUUGCUCUAAUAUAUGGCCCUGCCGUUCGCUAUCUUUUUCUAUUACAG